Long non-coding RNA from Hypanus sabinus (Atlantic stingray), 1420 nucleotides. RefSeq lists it as uncharacterized. Lineage: Eukaryota; Metazoa; Chordata; Chondrichthyes; Myliobatiformes; Dasyatidae. The transcript has 2 exons. The record is from RefSeq and is a predicted model, not a curated record.
CUCCCUUUCUCUCCCCUCGGAGUUCGUUCUCUGCGGCACUGAUAUACAAUCUGCAUUUUAAAAUGUCGCGGUCUUCCAGCGUACUUUUUAUUCGCAAAGACAGAAGCUCGCUGGGUCCACGGGAUAAUGCACAUGUUGUAAUGAGAAACCAGCCGCGUGAAGCCGGACGGGUUUGCUUUGUGCGCGGACCGGCCCGGGUUAAGAGUCAGUCAGGCGCCGCUGCGGGCGGGAUACACUAGAUGGACGGGGGCUAAAGGCUGUGGAAGUGACAGAAAGGAACAAGUGCAGAUGCGUUAAAGGGUUUAGUAACGCCGAGAUGGAAGAUCAGCUAUGGUGGUGUUUUGGAGGCUGAGCGGGCGAGGUGCGAUCCACUCUCCCUGCUACUUCCCGGAGAAGGGAAAACGACUGGCGUCCUGGGUUCCAGCAAAACAAAACGCUGGAGGAACUCGGCAAGUCAGUCACCAUCUAAGGAGACGUUUCGGGAGAGCCAUUUACGUCCGCACAUGCUGCUCGGCCCGCUGAGUUCCUCCAGCUCUUUGUGUGUUGCUCCGGAUUCCAGCAACUACAGAUGCCCGUGACUAACUCGGGGGGUCUAAAAUUGACAAGAUCCGGCGUGCAACUUGAGAAGUGGGGCUUCGUGUGGUCCCCUCCUUCCACAAAUGUGCAUCUCCUGGCAAUCCGUUUGAAGCCUGACAGCUAGAGCAAAGUUAUUGGGCGAUAUUUAGACAAAUUAAAGACACGUUGACGUUGAAGUACUUUAUUUUCAUUGGCUGUUAACGAUUGAGCUGCAGAUCGGGUUACGGGCCGAUAAUUAUCUCCGGUGUCUCUAGAGUCAGGCUGAAAUCAUCUAGAGGUGUGUUUUUAGAUUCAUUACUGAGGAAGUGGUGUCUGCCGAUCGUCGUCUAACUGCCCAUUCAUCGCCGUUCCGUUUUAAGAUCGGUCACAUGAAAGAAGGGGUUCCUGUCAAUCAGUGUGUGGGAUUGGGGUCAGACAUGGGGCAGGAUAGGUAGGAACAGGAUAGGUUACUUUCCUCUCGGGUGUCAAUCAAUCAACUCUUGUUUUACAGCCCAGGGCUUCGCGUUUUUUAAAAUUACAUCAUUUUUAAUUUUCCAGAUUUUAAAACCAAUCAAAUCUGUUUUGCGUGGAACUGGCAGUCACGUUGUAUAUUUCACUGUAUAAUUGCCUAAGUUCGGAAUAAGCUCAAUAAAUUGCUAGAAUUGUUCUCCAAAGGGGACUUAUGCAGAACUUUGGCAGCUACAUAGCACGUAAAGGUCUAGCGACCUCUGACAUUUUUAUCUCUCCACAUAUGCUGCCCGACCAUUUGAGUGUUUCCCGCGUUUAGUUUUUCUUUAAUUUCGUAUUUUUAGUAUCUGCAGUUCUGGUUUCCGAUCAUUAAACUGUAUUUUGUUCUUUAAGCAUA